RNAcentral lists this unclassified non-coding RNA (253 nucleotides) under uncultured Caryophanales bacterium. RNAcentral's name for it is "uncultured Bacillales bacterium contains 16S-23S intergenic spacer region". It matches the Rfam family "Bacterial small subunit ribosomal RNA", at positions 524 to 776 of the family's 1533-position model. Lineage: Bacteria; Bacillati; Bacillota; Bacilli; Caryophanales. The record is from RNAcentral.
UACGUAGGGGGCAAGCGUUGUCCGGAAUUAUUGGUCGUAUAGGGCGCGCAGGCGGUUUCCUAAGUCGGAUGUGAAAGGCCACGGCUCAACCGUGGAAUGGCAUUGGAAACUGGGGAACUUGAGUACAGGAGAGGAGAGUGGAAUCCAACGUGUAGCGGUGAAAUGCGUAGAGAUGUGGAGGACCACCAGUGGCGAAGGCGGCUCUCUGGCCUGUAACUGACGCUGAGGCGCGAAAGUGUGGGGAGCAAACAGG